This 492-nucleotide ribosomal RNA is filed under the name uncultured bacterium. RNAcentral's name for it is "partial 16S ribosomal RNA". It matches the Rfam family "Bacterial small subunit ribosomal RNA", at positions 29 to 507 of the family's 1533-position model. The record is from RNAcentral.
AGUGAACGCUGGCGGUAGGCCUAACACAUGCAAGUCGAACGGCAGCACAGUAAGAGCUUGCUCUUACGGGUGGCGAGUGGCGGACGAGUGAGGAAUACAUCGGAAUCUACUUUUUCGUGGGGGAUAACGUAGGGAAACUUACGCUAAUACCGCAUACGACCUGCGGGUGAAAGCAGGGGAUCUUCGGACCUUGCGCGAUUGAAUGAGCCGAUGUCGGAUUAGCUAGUUGGCGGGGUAAAGGCCCACCAAGGCGACGAUCCGUAGCUGGUCUGAGAGGAUGAUCAGCCACACUGGAACUGAGACACGGUCCAGACUCCUAUGGGAGGCAGCAGUGGGGAAUAUUGGACAAUGGGCGCAAGCCUGAUCCAGCCAUACCGCGUGGGUGAAGAAGGCCCUCGGGUUGUAAAGCCCUUUUGUUGGGAAAGAAAAGCAGCAGGUUAAUACCCCGCUGUUCUGACGGUACCCAAAGAAUAAGCACCGGCUAACUUCGUG